AGAUUCUGAGGCUUGAUGUGUUCUGA
RNAcentral lists this non-coding RNA (26 nucleotides) under Homo sapiens (human). Lineage: Eukaryota; Metazoa; Chordata; Mammalia; Primates; Hominidae. The record is from RNAcentral.